Molecule: non-coding RNA, 24 nt
Filed under: Arabidopsis thaliana (thale cress)
Lineage: Eukaryota; Viridiplantae; Streptophyta; Magnoliopsida; Brassicales; Brassicaceae
Source: RNAcentral
GAGGUGUUGCGUUUAACGGUUCCU